This 460-nucleotide ribosomal RNA is filed under the name uncultured bacterium. RNAcentral describes it as "partial 16S ribosomal RNA". It matches the Rfam family "Bacterial small subunit ribosomal RNA", at positions 338 to 795 of the family's 1533-position model. The record is from RNAcentral.
CCUACGGGAGGCAGCAGUGAGGAAUAUUGGUCAAUGGGCGCGAGCCUGAACCAGCCAAGUAGCGUGAAGGAUGACUGCCCUACGGGUUGUAAACUUCUUUUAUAAAGGGAUAAACUGAGGCACGUGUGCCUUUUUGUAUGUACUUUAUGAAUAAGGAUCGGCUAACUCCGUGCCAGCAGCCGCGGUAAUACGGAGGGUCCGGGCGUUAUCCGGAUUUAUUGGGUUUAAAGGGAGCGUAGAUGGGUUGUUAAGUCAGUUGUGAAAGUUUGCGGCUCAACCGUAAAAUUGCAAUUGAUACUGGCAGGCUUGAGUGCAGUUGAGGUAGGCGGAAUUCGUGGUGUAGCGGUGUAAUGCUUAGAUAUCACGAAGAACUCCGAUUGCGAAGGCAGCUUACUAAAGUGUUACUGACAUUGAUGCUCGAAAGUGUGGGUAUCAAACAGGAUUAGAUACCCCAGUAGUC